This 187-nucleotide non-coding RNA is filed under the name Desulfobacter sp. RNAcentral describes it as "6S RNA". It matches the Rfam family "6S / SsrS RNA". Rfam says of the family: E. coli 6S RNA was the first non coding RNA to be sequenced, but its function was unknown until recently. It consists of 184 nucleotides that fold into an extended hairpin structure with a large single-stranded internal bulge. The 6S RNA specifically associates with RNA polymerase holoenzyme containing the sigma70 specificity factor. The record is from RNAcentral. Lineage: Bacteria; Pseudomonadati; Thermodesulfobacteriota; Desulfobacteria; Desulfobacterales; Desulfobacteraceae.
CCCCCCCUGCAAUGUGCGUGAUUGUAUGACAGACUUUGUCCUAACGCAUAGAAAAAAGGGCGUUCACACUGAUGCUGGUGAGCAGGUUCCAACGGUUAUGGAAAAGCCUAAAGGCAUUAUUGAACACCCACCUUUUGGACCUUUGGUUCAAAGCCUUAAAAGCAACACGGCAGUUUGUGGGGGGAAU